GACGAACGCUGGCGGCGUGCUUAACACAUGCAAGUCGAACGGUGAAGCUCCAGCUUGCUGGAGUGGAUCAGUGGCGAACGGGUGGGUAACACGUGAGCAACCUGCCCCUGACUCUGGAAUAAGCGCUGGAAACGGCGUCUAAUACUGGAUACGAGAAGGGUCCGCAUGGGCACUUUCUGGAAAGUUUUUCGGUUGGGGAUGGGCUCGCGGCCUAUCAGCUUGUUGGUGAGGUAAUGGCUCACCAAGGCGACGACGGGUAGCCGGCCUGAGAGGGCGACCGGCCACACUGGGACUGAGACACGGCCCAGACUCCUACGGGAGGCAGCAGUGGGGAAUAUUGCACAAUGGGCGAAAGCCUGAUGCAGCGACGCCGCGUGAGGGAUGACGGCCUUCGGGUUGUAAACCUCUUUCAGCAGGGAAGAAGCGAAAGUGACGGUACCUGCAGAAGAAGCACCGGCUAACUACGUG
This 468-nucleotide ribosomal RNA is filed under the name uncultured bacterium. Its description in RNAcentral is "partial 16S ribosomal RNA". It matches the Rfam family "Bacterial small subunit ribosomal RNA", at positions 28 to 507 of the family's 1533-position model. The record is from RNAcentral.